This 366-nucleotide ribosomal RNA is filed under the name uncultured bacterium. RNAcentral describes it as "bacterial SSU rRNA". It matches the Rfam family "Bacterial small subunit ribosomal RNA", at positions 30 to 398 of the family's 1533-position model. The record is from RNAcentral.
AUUGAACGCUGGCGGCAUGCCUAACACAUGCAAGUCGAACGGUAACAGGCCCUUCGGGUGCUGACGAGUGGCGGAUGGGUGAGUAAUACUUAGGAAUCUACCCUGUAGUGGGGGACAACCCGGGAAACGUCGGGCUAAUACCGCAUACGCUCUACGGAGGAAAGCGGGGGACCGCAAGGCCUCGCGCUAUUGGAUGAGCCUAAGCCCGAUUAGCUAGUUGGUGGGGUAAUAGCCACCAAGGCAAUGAUUGGUAGCUGGUCUGAGAGGACGACCAGCCACACUGGGACUGAGACACGGCCCAGACUCCUACGGGAGGCAGCAGUGGGGAAUAUUGGACAAUGGGCGAAAGCCUGAUCCAGCCAUGCC